GAUCCUCCAGCAGGUCACCUCUUUCUAACACGCAGGGGGACCAAACGGGGUCCUGAGUCCCACUGCCUUCUGCCACUUGUUGCGUGUCUCAGAGGCAAAGAGAAACAACCUUGGAAAUGCGACAAGCUGUGAAUGUGGAGUCAGAGAUUCUGGGUUUGAUUUCUUCCUGUUGCAAUUCUUCCUUGUAUGAUCUUGGGGGUGCUGAGUGUGUGUUGCUGUUCAUGAGUGUGAGUGGCUCCAAGGAUGUGGCCUGUGCAGGAGAAUAACUAGGUAGAUGCUCAGAUAUACCUACAAUGAGCAAUUCAUAAUUGUUUAUUCAUAGCAUGAACAACUCUGUUCCUGUGAGGGAAGGGAGAGAAGAGGACAGAGGCAAGCUGCCAAUGGUCACUGCCCUUCAGUUCGGGGCCACCCCUGCUCCAAGUCUUAAGAGGCUCCCCCGAGGCCAUCACCUGGAGGUGAGCAGCCACCCCAGGCUGGAGCAGGAUCUGCUCCAGAGUCCCAAAAGAUUCAUCUUCUAUGUGACUCAUUGUCCUGUGGAGCCAACCCAUUUUACUGAUGAAGGACAUAAUUGUUAACGGACUUUUACUGAAGUGAGCAUUACCUCUUUUCUUAUGCUCCAUGGACAUCUCAUCGAGGACCCUUGAAGUGAGGUUACCAUUCUUAGCUCCCACAGCAAAGAGAUCCCAGGAGACUGGACACUGAAGAAUCUCAUCUUGUAUAAAGACAGACCAAGAUAUGAUGUUUUUCCUUUCAAACCUAUAAACCCUAUGGGAUUCAUUCCGAUCUUUUCCUGCUGCCAGGAUAUUUAACAAGUAUUUCCCUGACAAAGGAAGACAUUCAUUGCAGAGCAGAUGAGAGGACUCCAAGGUGACUUAUUUAGGCCAUGCAGGGGUGAAAGGCCUAUGUUAGGUCAGGCCAAAGGUGCUCACUCUCUGAGAUGGGCAAACAGCUUGGCUAAGACACCAAGAGAUCACAGCCUUUUCAUUAAGGCUCUGUGCAGAUGGUGGCACCCACUCUUCCUGCAUGUGGUGUUUGCCUGCAGAGGCUGAGGACAUGCUAGGGCAAAAGCCAGAUGCCUGGGAUUUCCCAGGCUGUCUGUCCAGUGAGUAAUAGUUCCCUCUCAGGGGCUGCUGGGUGCUGCAGAGGAUGUUUCUGGUGAAGAGAGGCUAAAGGGAGGAGACCUGGGUUUUUGUUCUUUGUGCUAAUUUAUUCUGUUAUCUUGGUCCAGACCUUCCUCUCUGGCCCUUAGUUUCAUUUUACCUAAGAAGGAGAUUUCAGUACUAGCUCUUUCAGACCCUGAAAAAAAGAAACACGCACUAAGUCUCCAUCCUUCAUUGGCUACUUACAAUGUGCAGCUGUGGGCUAAGCACAGGAGCUGCAUGCCCUCCGCUGGAGUGAAGAGCAUCAUCAAUAUUUGCUCCCUGGGGCUUGCCAGCUCCUCUUCCCUGGCUCCUGACUGUUGGCUUCAAUUCAUGGCCACUCUCUGCCCUCCUCCGUGAUCCCUGGUGGUGGCCCAUGACUACAGUUGUUUGAUACCGGCUGUGCCGCCUCUGGAGAUGUUCUGGCCUUGGUGCUAAGACUUAUAAGCUGGGCCUGGGGACUGUUGGACCUGGGGUCCUGGAAUGACCACUUAGUGGGUGCAUUGCUUUAGCAGGUUUCCUAACUUACAGAUUUAUUGUCUUCUUUUAAGAUUUCCCCCUUUUUAUAUCUAAGGGUUGUUGUGAACCUGAACAUGAGAUGAAAAAUGAGGAGGCUGUUUGUAAAGAAUCCUGAAAAUAUGAGACAGUGCAGUGGGGGUGAUUAGGAAUGAAGAUCUGGCUGGGACAGACUGCCUGGGUUUGAAUCUUGUCUCUGUUGCUUCUGAGCUUGUGACUGGGGACAAGUAACCUAACCUUACUGUCUGAGUAAGAGGGUGCUAGUACUCACCUCACAGGACUUUUAUGAGGAUUAACAUUUAUCUACAGUAAGUACUGAGAACAGAGCUUGACAUGGAGCUAGAACUCAAUAAAAACUGUUCUUGCCCUUACUGUUGGGUUUUUAUUACUGUUAGUGUGGGCUGCGGCCUAUGUAGAGAGGGAAUCUUAAGUGGAGGUAGAGAGGGAUGAAGCAGGCAAGACUUCCUGAAAGAGGGAGGCUUUAGCUGAUUUUUGGAGUCUGGCUAGAGGGAACUUCUAGAGGGAAGGGUGUAAACAAAUGCCAAAAUUGGAAUGUUGGCAGAGUUGGAGAGAGAAAGAUGCCCUAGGGAGAAAUUUAGCUCAGCAAUACUGAGUUAUUGAGUGAGUACAGCUUUUCUUCUGCAGCUCACACAUAUGUGUGGGAUGCUGCUAUGGUCUGAAUAUGCCUUCCGAAAACUCCUAUGUUGAAACUUAAUCUUCAAUCUGAUAGUAUUGAGAGGUGGGGGCUUUUGGGAAGUAAGUCAUGAGGGCUCUGCCCUCAUGCAUGGGAUUAGCAUCCUUUAAAAGAGGCUGAAGGGAGCCUGUUUGUCCCUUCCACCAUGUGGGGACACAGCUAGAGUGCACUGUCUCUGAAGCAUUGAGCAGGCCCUCACCAGACACCAAAUCUGUGGGUUCCUGGAUCUUGGACUUCCCAGCCUCAUAAUGGUAAGCAGUACAUUUCUGUUGUUUAUAAGUUACCCAGUCUAUGGUAAUGCAUUGUAGCAGGCUAAACAGACUAAGACAGGUGCCUUUUCGCUUUACUCAGUUGAAGUCAGGCUCUCUCUGACCCCAUUUGGGGGGAAAUGUGGAGCAGGAGGAGAGCAAGGGCUUUGCAUUCAGACAGACCUAGGUUUGAAUGCUGGCUUUGCUCCUCACUGGCAGAGUCUUUGAGUUAAUUAUUAAUCUUAACCUCCUUGAGUCUCAGUUUUCUCACUUGUAGAGAUGUUGAGGGAAUUAAUUUAAAUGAAAAGAUUCUUCCCUCCUUCUUUCCCCACUUCCUCUCUUGCUCCUUUCUUCUUUCUCAUCCCCACCUCUCUCCAUUCACUCUCUGGGAGAGAGAAUCUCUGGCUGCUCCUGCAGCUGCCACACAUGAGCACAGCUGGUUGCCAACUCUGGCAGGGUGCCAGGGAGAUGGUGCCACGGGAAAAAAUAGUAAGUGCCAUUGGAACAAGGAGAAUUUCAUAGAAUUAGAAAGGUCCAAAAGGUAGCUUUUUAGUAUGGGUUGCAAGCAGGCUGACUCAUAGGAAUUUUGCUUUGCUGUGUUCUUUGUUACACGCUCCCAGAGUUUUAGCCAGGUGAUGGUGUGAGCAGCUUAGCACCUUUGCCAUCUGCCCACCCAUUAUGUAUGUGUGUAAACUGCCUCAGUCACUUAAAUUUGUGCACUCUGAUACAGCUCAUUCUUCUUAGAGUCAAGGAAGCUGAGGUUGAGAGAGUAGGAGUGACUUGCCCAAGGCCAUGCAGGGGCUGGGCUAGACACCUGCAUCCUUAAACCUGAGCUCUUUUCCUCACACAGAAAACGGUGUCAAAAGCAGUGGGAUAGGUGUUGGGAUGUGGGAAGAUGCUUUGCAGUAAAAAGGAAUUUGUCUUAUAGGUGAGGCCAAUUUUUCUUAGAUUGUUUUGACUGUUCAGUCCAGAAUGAGAGUUCCUUUUUUGGAUUAUGUUCAUAAAAUCCUGUGGAUUGGAUGAUUCUCACCAUCCUUUUAGGCUUGAUGAAAAAGAUAAAAAAAUAAUCACAGGCACUGAGUUUUCCUGAGAAACUGUGGCUUCAGUUCCCUUACCUCCUUCAAGGCCCCUCCCAAGGGUGAGUUUUUAAGCAUGAUGAAUUACUGUGGUCAGCUGUGGCAGCAUGCCAUGCCCAGGGGAGUAGAGCCCUUGGUUCCUUGGCCAGCCUGUGUCUCUCCAGCAGGCCAGCCUGCUGCACACGUUCCUGCACAGACACUGUCACUGCUGCAGCAUUUCCUUUGUCCCAACAGAGGCAUCACAAAUCUC
Long non-coding RNA from Pongo pygmaeus (Bornean orangutan), 3923 nucleotides. RefSeq lists it as uncharacterized. Lineage: Eukaryota; Metazoa; Chordata; Mammalia; Primates; Hominidae. The record is from RefSeq and is a predicted model, not a curated record. The transcript is spliced from 5 exons.